GAUGAACGCUGGCGGCGUGCCUAAUACAUGCAAGUCGAGCGAACAGACGAGGAGCUUGCUCCUCUGACGUUAGCGGCGGACGGGUGAGUAACACGUCGAUAACCUACCUAUAAGACUGGGAUAACUUCGGGAAACCGGAGCUAAUACCGGAUAAUAUAUUGAACCGCAUGGUUCAAUAGUGAAAGACGGUUUUGCUGUCACUUAUAGAUGGAUCCGCGCCGCAUUAGUUAGUUGGUACGGUAACGGCUUACCAAGGCAACGAUGCGUAGCCGACCUGAGAGGGUGAUCGGCCACACUGGAACUGAGACACGGUCCAGACUCCUACGGGAGGCAGCAGUAGGGAAUCUUCCGCAAUGGGCGAAAGCCGGACGGAGCAACGCCGCGUGAGUGAUGAAGGUCUUCGGAGCGUAAAACUCUGUUAUUAGGGAAGAACAAAUGUGUAAGUAACUAGGCACGUCUUGACGGUACCUAAUCAGAAAGCCACGGCUAACUACGUG
Molecule: ribosomal RNA, 497 nt
Filed under: uncultured bacterium
Lineage: Bacteria
Description: partial 16S ribosomal RNA
Rfam family: Bacterial small subunit ribosomal RNA
Source: RNAcentral